This 493-nucleotide ribosomal RNA is filed under the name uncultured bacterium. Its description in RNAcentral is "partial 16S ribosomal RNA". It matches the Rfam family "Bacterial small subunit ribosomal RNA", at positions 28 to 507 of the family's 1533-position model. The record is from RNAcentral.
GAUGAACGCUGGCGGCGUGCCUAAUACAUGCAAGUCGAGCGAACGGACGAGAAGCUUGCUUCUCUGAUGUUAGCGGCGGACGGGUGAGUAACACGUGGAUAACCUACCUAUAAGACUGGGAUAACUUCGGGAAACCGGAGCUAAUACCGGAUAAUAUUUUGAACCGCAUGGUUCAAAAGUGAAAGACGGUCUUGCUGUCACUUAUAGAUGGAUCCGCGCUGCAUUAGCUAGUUGGUAAGGUAACGGCUUACCAAGGCAACGAUGCAUAGCCUGAAAGGGUGAUCGGCCACACGGGAACUGAGACACGGUCCAGACUCCGACGGGAGGAAGCAGUAGGGAAUCUUCCGCAAGGGGGGAAAGCCUGACGGAGCAACGCCGCGUGAGUGAUGAAGGUCUUCGGAUCGGAAAACUCUGUUAUUAGGGAAGAACAAAUGUGUAAGUAACUGUGCACAUCUUGACGGUACCGAAUCAGAAAGCCACGGCUAACUACGUG